GCAAGUCGAACGGGCUUUAAUUAGCAUGCUAAUUAAUGAGAGUGGCGCACGGGGGAGUAACGCGUAUACAACCUACCUUAUACAGAGGGAUAGCCCAGAGAAAUUUGGAUUAAUACCUCAUAGCAUUAUCGAUUCGCAUGUUUUGAUAAUUAAAACUCCGGUGGUAUAAGAUGGGUAUGCGUGACAUUAGCUAGUUGGUGUAGUAACGGUGCACCAAGGCCACGAUGUCUAGGGGGUCUGAGAGGAUGGGC
RNAcentral lists this ribosomal RNA (251 nucleotides) under uncultured bacterium. RNAcentral's name for it is "partial 16S ribosomal RNA". It matches the Rfam family "Bacterial small subunit ribosomal RNA", at positions 57 to 305 of the family's 1533-position model. The record is from RNAcentral.